Molecule: ribosomal RNA, 253 nt
Filed under: uncultured bacterium
Lineage: Bacteria
Description: partial 16S ribosomal RNA
Rfam family: Bacterial small subunit ribosomal RNA
Source: RNAcentral
UACGUAGGGUGCAAGCGUUGUCCGGAAUUAUUGGGCGUAAAGAGCUCGUAGGCGGUUUGUCGCGUCUGCUGUGAAAACUCGGGGCUUAACUCCGGGCCUGCAGUGGGUACGGGCAGACUAGAGUGCGGUAGGGGAGACUGGAAUUCCUGGUGUAGCGGUGAAAUGCGUAGAUAUCGGGAGGAACACCUGAGGCGAAGGCGGGUUACUGGGCUGAUACUGACGCUGAUGCGCGAAAGCCAGGGGAGCAAACGGG